Molecule: ribosomal RNA, 450 nt
Filed under: uncultured bacterium
Lineage: Bacteria
Description: partial 16S ribosomal RNA
Rfam family: Bacterial small subunit ribosomal RNA
Source: RNAcentral
GUGGGGAAUAUUGGACAAUGGGCGAAAGCCUGAUCCAGCCAUGCCGCGUGUGUGAAGAAGGUCUUCGGAUUGUAAAGCACUUUAAGUUGGGAGGAAGGGCAGUAAGUUAAUACCUUGCUGUUUUGACGUUACCGACAGAAUAAGCACCGGCUAACUUCGUGCCAGCAGCCGCGGUAAUACGAAGGGUGCAAGCGUUAAUCGGAAUUACUGGGCGUAAAGCGCGCGUAGGUGGUUUUGUAAGUUGGAGGUGAAAUCCCCGGGCUCAACCUGGGAACUGACUCCGAAACUGCAUGGCUAGAGUACGGUAGAGGGUAGUGGAAUUUCCUGUGUAGCGGUGAAAUGCGUAGAUAUAGGAAGGAACACCAGUGGCGAAGGCGACUACCUGGACUGAUACUGACACUGAGGUGCGAAAGCGUGGGGAGCAAACAGGAUUAGAAACCCCGGUAGUCC